CUAGCAGUAAACCAUCAGCCCCCUCUUCAGAUACCGUUCCUCUAUUCCGCCGCCCUUCACGUCGAUUUCUUGUAAAGAGGAAGUCAAGCCGAGAAUCGAAUUACCGCCUCUGCCACCGUUACCCACGAAUUAGGAACCGAACCGUGUAGCCUGUGUUGAUCGCACUUAUUCGGAUGGACCUACUGCUCGAGUUGAUCGUGGGAAACGUAAUUAUUGUCGUUAACAUUUGUCGAGGUGUGUUUCUAUCCAAUGCUGGUUGUUGACAUGAAAAAUUGAAUUAUGAAUUUGACUGUUUUAAGUUAUUGGUUGAAUUUAACACAUUCGAAAAAUGUCGUGUUGUAAUGUGAUAUGUUGUAUUCGGAAAAUAUAUUGUGCA
Hibiscus syriacus is the source of this 376-nucleotide long non-coding RNA. RefSeq lists it as uncharacterized. The record is from RefSeq and is a predicted model, not a curated record. Lineage: Eukaryota; Viridiplantae; Streptophyta; Magnoliopsida; Malvales; Malvaceae. The transcript has 3 exons.